AGCGAACGCUGGCGGCAGGCUUAACACAUGCAAGUCGAGCGGGCAUAGCAAUAUGUCAGCGGCAGACGGGUGAGUAACGCGUGGGAACGUACCUUUUGGUUCGGAACAACACAGGGAAACUUGUGCUAAUACCGGAUAAGCCCUUACGGGGAAAGAUUUAUCGCCGAAAGAUCGGCCCGCGUCUGAUUAGCUAGUUGGUGAGGUAAUGGCUCACCAAGGCGACGAUCAGUAGCUGGUCUGAGAGGAUGAUCAGCCACAUUGGGACUGAGACACGGCCCAAACUCCUAUGGGGGGCAGCAGUGGGGAAUAUUGGACAAUGGGCGCAAGCCUGAUCCAGCCAUGCCGCGUGAGUGAUGAAGGCCCUAGGGUUGUAAAGCUCUUUUGUGCGGGAAGAUAAUGACGGUACCGCAAGAAUAAGCCCCGGCUAACUUCGUGCCAGCCGCCGCAGUAA
Molecule: ribosomal RNA, 451 nt
Filed under: uncultured bacterium
Lineage: Bacteria
Description: partial 16S ribosomal RNA
Rfam family: Bacterial small subunit ribosomal RNA
Source: RNAcentral